GGUUCGAUUCUGGCUCAGAUUGAACGCUGGCGGGAUGCUUUACAUGCAGUCGAACGGCAGCACGCGGACUUCGGUCUGGUGGCGAGUGGCGAACGGGUGAGUAAUGUAUCGGAACGUGCCUAGUAGCGGGGGAUAACUACGCGAAAGCGUAGCUAAUACCGCAUACGCCCUUCGAGGGGAAAGCAGGGGACCUUCGGGCCUCGCACUAUUAGAAGCGGUUCGAUAUCGGAUUAGCUAGUUGGUGGGGUAACGGCUCACCAAGGCGACGAUCCGUAGCUGGUUUGAGAGGACGACCAGCCACACAGGACUGAGACACAGCCCAGACUCCUGCAGGAGGCAACAGUGGGGAAUUUUGGACAAUGGGGAAACCUGAUCCAGCCAUCCCGCGUGUGCGAUGAGGGCCUUCGGGUUGUAAAGCACUUUUGGCAGAAGAAACGGCACAGGAUAUUACCCCGUGCAGCUGACCAAACACCUGCGAAUAAGCACCGGCUUCAACUACGUGCCAACAGCCGCGGUAAUACAGUAAAGGGUGCAGCGUUAAUCGGAAUUACUGGGGCGUAAAAUGCGCAGGCGGUUCGGAAAGAAAGAUGUGAAAUCCCCGAGCUUAACUUUGGAACUGCAUUUUUAACUACCGAGCUAGAGUGUGUCAGAGGGAGGUGGAAUUCCGCGUGUAGCAGUGAAAUGCGUAGAUAUGCGGAGGAGCACCGAUAGCGAAGGCAGCCUCCUGGGAUAACACUGACGCUCAUGCGAAAGCGUGGGGAGCAAACAGGAUUAGAUACCCUGGUAGUCCACGCUGUAAAGCGAUAUCGCUUGCUAGCUGUUGGGGCCUUCGGGCCUUGGUAGCGCAACUAACGCGUGAAGUUGACCGCCUGGGAAGUACAGUCGCAAGAUUAAAACUCAAAGGAAUUGACGAGGACCGCACAAGCGGUGGAUGAUGUGGAUUAAUUCGAUGCAACGCAUGAAAAACCUUACCUACCCUUGACAUGUCUGGAAUCCCGAAGAGAUUUGGGAGUGCUCGCAAAGAGAACCGGAACACAGGUGCUGCAUGGCAUCGUCAGCUCGUGUCGUGAGAUGUUAGGUUAAGUCCCAUGUAACAGAGCGCAACCGCUGUCAUUAGUUGCUACGAAAGGGCACUCUAAUGAGACUGCCGGUGACAAACCGGAGGAAGGUGGGGAUGACGUCAAGUCUACAUGGCCCUUAUGGUAAAGACUACACGUCAUACAAAAUGGUCGGGACAGAGGGUGCUUAACGCUGCGAAGGCCAAUCCCCGAAACCCGAUCGUAGUCCGGAUCAUGAUCUGCAACUCGACUUAAAUGAAGUCGGAAUCGCUAAUGGCUCGCGGAUCAGCAUGUCGCGGUGAAUACGUUCCCGGGUCUUGUACACACCGCCCGGCUCACACCGCUUGGGAAUGGAUUUUACCAGAAGUAGUUAAUAUAACCGUAAGGAGGGCGAUUACCACGGUAGGAUUCAUGACUGGGGUGAAGUCGUAACAAGGUAG
This 1498-nucleotide ribosomal RNA is filed under the name uncultured Bordetella sp. RNAcentral describes it as "partial 16S-23S ribosomal RNA intergenic spacer". It matches the Rfam family "Bacterial small subunit ribosomal RNA". Lineage: Bacteria; Pseudomonadati; Pseudomonadota; Betaproteobacteria; Burkholderiales; Alcaligenaceae. The record is from RNAcentral.